This 116-nucleotide ribosomal RNA is filed under the name Pompilidae sp. CH-2014. RNAcentral's name for it is "partial 16S ribosomal RNA". The record is from RNAcentral. Lineage: Eukaryota; Metazoa; Arthropoda; Insecta; Hymenoptera; Pompilidae.
AAGAUAAUAAUAGUCGAACAGACUAUUUAUUUAAGCUUCUUCACUUAAUAAAAUUCUUAAUUCAACAUCGAGGUCAUAAUCAAAAUUAUAAAUAAGAACUUUAUAAUUUUAUUAUG